Molecule: ribosomal RNA, 431 nt
Filed under: uncultured bacterium
Lineage: Bacteria
Description: bacterial SSU rRNA
Rfam family: Bacterial small subunit ribosomal RNA
Source: RNAcentral
GCGAACGCUGGCGGCGUGCUUAACACAUGCAAGUCGAACGAGACCUUCGGGUCUAGUGGCGCACGGGUGAGUAACACGUGGGAAUAUACCUCUCAGUGGGGGAUAACGUCGGGAAACUGACGCUAAUACCGCAUACGCCCUUCGGGGGAAAGAUUUAUCGCUGAGAGAUUAGCCCGCGUCCGAUUAGCUAGUUGGUAAGGUAAUGGCUUACCAAGGCUACGAUCGGUAGCUGGUCUGAGAGGAUGAUCAGCCACACUGGGACUGAGACACGGCCCAGACUCCUACGGGAGGCAGCAGUGGGGAAUAUUGGACAAUGGGGGCAACCCUGAUCCAGCCAUGCCGCGUGAGUGAUGAAGGCCUUAGGGUUGUAAAGCUCUUUCGACGGGGACGAUGAUGACGGUACCCGUAGAAGAAGCCCCGGCUAACUUCGU